UCUCCAAUCUUUUUCCAUGAACCAGUUAACAAAUUGUUGUUUACAUUAAUGUGCAAUUAUUAAUACUUUGAUAAUAUGUUAGUUGACGACUGUCCAUGCACAUAUCAUUUUCCAUUGUUUCAUUUCUUAUCAGCCAACACUGGUUCCAAAGGUAGAUAGCUAUUGGGUUAAAAGAAAUAUAUGCAGAUAGGAAAUAACGACUUUUGGCGUAUAGAAAAAUGUAAAGUUUUAAUGAUAACCACAUGAUAAUAGAAGCGAAAUUAUCAAAAAUUGCACACCUGGUCGUCAUAUUUCAAUGACUAAAGGGGCAAACUUAAAUUAGAGUUAUGACGCCUGCAUUUUUCGCCAAAUAACCCAAUUUUCAAGAGUGAUAUAAGAACAUUUAAUGGUAAAUAUAAAUUUCCUAUAAAAGUGAUCAAUAGUAGUACUUUUUUGUGCAUUUUUCUAAAACGUUAUUCGACACCACCUACAGCGUAGCGAUAAGAAACGGAAACCGAGCAUUUACUAUGUACCGUAUCCCACCAAAGACUACAUAUCUAAAGGGUAUUUUUUAAGUGCUUUUGGAUUUUUUUUUAAAUAAGCAAAAGGUAUUGAUCUUUAAUCCGUCUAAAAUGAUUCAUUUGCUGGCUCAAAAAAAUUUUUUUUUGUUGUAGCAACAUUUUUACAUUUGGCUCAAGCUCCAUAGGUGAGCAAGCUUGUUCUGGUCCAUGGAACCGAUCGCCGGGGGAAUGUUAUUUCCAUUGGUUAUUUAAAAGCGCCAAUAAUUCGCCUUGUCAAAUUGCCAUAGACACUCAGUAUUUAAGCAAGAGCCGAUGCUGCCGCGACUCUCACCGAGAAUUAGGCAGAAUGCAGUUGCAGUUACUGCGUAUUUGGAGCUUUCCACAAUCCACAGCCUGUGGGCACGUCCGGUACCUCUAAGCUGAGCUUCUCGUGAUGACGAAGAACUCCACACAAAUAGGAACUCAGAUUUCCAGAUUGGUGCUCGUAAUCAUCCCGUGCCGGGGUUCCAAUUUGUUCCACUGUCCCAUAAUCAACAGCAAACAGUCAAUUUUGGUGAACCACUUGAGUUCUCACAAUGCUUUUGGAUGAUCUUUACACCAAACAAAUUCCAAAAGAAACAGGUUUACUUAAUUUCUAAGUCGAUUCAUGAUUAAGUUACACAUUAAGUUGAACUAAGCUAAAAGUGUUUGAGAGUAACACAAAGGCACAAAAUAAGCAUUGCUGACAGUAUUAUCGAAAAGAAAAUUACUUAAACAAUCACCCUUUAGUUAUGAAGUCAUUGUAAACAACAACAAACUUAAAUGCAUACUCACUCAUAUAAAAAUUCAAAGUACCCCCAAGAUAUAUCCAAAGCUGCCUUAAGGCAGAUAGCACUGCACAUUUUACUUGCCUAUAUGUCUGCUUUUUCGUUAAACAAUUUUCUCGUUAAGAAUUACACAAAGCACUUUGUUUACUUAUAAACAUGGGCUAUGGGUUAAGCAGCACCAAAACAAAGUUAUUUUAUCUCUGUGAUUACAAUUGUCCCCGCGCCAACCAUGAUCAUAAGAGUUUCGGGAUGAUACAUACAUAUAUGUAAUACAUAUAUGUAAGAUGAUGUCAAAAAAUAUUCGUUCACCUGCCAAUAUUGAAGCGAGAAACACCGAAAUGCAAAAUGUAUGAUAUCUCGAAGCAUUGGAAAGAGGAAGCGAAAAAACAAAAGUAAAACAUUUGUAACGCUGAGCGUCCAUGCAAGAUAUGGAACCGGUUUGAUUAGUAGAAUACUGCAUUUAACAACGACUAAAAUAUAAUGGAGUUUUUGUGUGGCAAGAAAUGCAGAGCACAGAGAAAUAAACUGUCCAGUUAUGAGUUUUAAAUGUAAAUUUGCAAUGUUUAUACUUUUUCUUACUCAUGAGUGGCCUCAUUUCCGGUGUUCUGAUUCAUUCCGAUGCGAAUCAGGUUAAAAAAAUAUAUAUUGAAAUCUAUUAUGAUAUUACAUUCAUAUAUCUUUUGGGUAUAGUCCAUAGUCCUUAUAGUCCUAUACACCAAAGUGUCUUUGAAAAUAAAUCCUUCUGGAGCCUCGGUUUGCCUUAUUUAAUUUAUCUAGCGUUUCUGUUAUUUACAUUACAUGUUGAAAUCCUAAACAUAUUGGAUACAUCAGAUAUCCAAAGAAUCUUCCCGGACCAAAUUUAACUCAAAUUUCGUCCUUCGUGUCUGCUUGGUGAUUAUGUGGCGUGUCAAUGGCGUCUCCAAUACACGUUUCUCCAAAAUAGAAUAUUAGAUUCUUACGCUACUCUCAAAUAACUUUUAUUUGUUUCAAUAUUGUCACGAUCGGUCAAAAUGUCCGCGUAGGCACUCUUUUUCCCAUAUUUAAAACACAUUCGUAAUCUGCUCUCAAAUACACGUUUUUCAUUUAAGAGACUUAUUAACCCGAUCGGUCAAAAUGUCUACUACCCAAUUUAAGUAAGUACUCUUUUUUACCUGGCCCCCUGGCCAGGAAAAAUCAAACAAACAACACUAUGGCUACACUAGACACAAUAAAAGUAAAAUUACCAAAAUUUAGAAAACUCGGAAUUUUUAUAAUAGGUUGGUAUAAUGAACAUCCCUUAAGAGAACUAUCAAAUCAAAGGAUGCUCUACUAUUCAAGUUUUUAACCUAAUUAUGAGGUCCCUUACGCCUUUUUAUGGCCCAGAUAGAACUGCGUAUCGGGCAUCGAAUUUCACCACAACAUUUGUAUAGACUUAUGAUAAAUUGUGUUGUGAAAUUAAAGAAAUUCGUUUAGAUUCGGAAUUUGCCGCGAUGUAUAUUUGAGGCAACCUUAAAAAUGUUUGAUUGUUUAUAAAACGUCAUGUAUAAUUUACAAAAAUCGCCAUAAAUAACGCCCAUACAUAUGAGAAGGUAUUUGGAUAAUGUCAUGAAAAAGGGCAAGAAAGGCAACUCAUGAGUUGAACAAAAGUUGGGAGUUUAGACCGCGUGUCAUGCAUUGGAUAUAUACUACAGUUGUCAGACCUAUAAUGCUAUAUGGUGUUGUGGUCUGGUGGACGGCGCUUCAUAAGUCCACCUACUGUUCAAUACUCAACCGGAUCCAAAGGUUUGCUUGUUUGUGCACCACAGCCGCACUGAGGACAACACCAUCUGAUGCACUGAAUAUAAUUCUACAUCUAAUGGAAAUCGUGGCUACGCAAAUUGCUGCGACAACUGCCGUGAGGCUAAAGGAGCUUUUUUUUUUGGUCAUGUAGCGGCUACGGACAUUGUGUGCGAUGUUCUAGGCAGUGUGGAUUUUACCCUACCUGAGCCUCUUUUUGAUAAAAAGUACUGUACAACCGAUUGGAACUACAAUAUCCCUGGUAAUAGAAGUUACAUACGGAUGGUUUCAAACUAGACAACCAGGUGGGCUUUGGGGCGUACUCUAAAAAUCUAUAACUGGUCAUAUCGAAAA
Stomoxys calcitrans (stable fly) is the source of this 3415-nucleotide long non-coding RNA. RefSeq lists it as uncharacterized. Lineage: Eukaryota; Metazoa; Arthropoda; Insecta; Diptera; Muscidae. The record is from RefSeq and is a predicted model, not a curated record. The transcript is spliced from 2 exons.